GCUCAGAUUGAACGCUGGCGGCAGGCUUAACACAUGCAAGUCGAGCGGAGAUGAGGUGCUUGCACCUUAUCUUAGCGGCGGACGGGUGAGUAAUGCUUAGGAAUCUGCCUAUUAGUGGGGGACAACAUUCCGAAAGGAAUGCUAAUACCGCAUACGUCCUACGGGAGAAAGCAGGGGAUCUUCGGACCUUGCGCUAAUAGAUGAGCCUAAGUCGGAUUAGCUAGUUGGUGGGGUAAAGGCCUACCAAGGCGACGAUCUGUAGCGGGUCUGAGAGGAUGAUCCGCCACACUGGGACUGAGACACGGCCCAGACUCCUACGGGAGGCAGCAGUGGGGAAUAUUGGACAAUGGGGGGAACCCUGAUCCAGCCAUGCCGCGUGUGUGAAGAAGGCCUUAUGGUUGUAAAGCACUUUAAGCGAGGAGGAGGCUACUGAGACUAAUACUCUUGGAUAGUGGACGUUACUCGCAGAAUAAGCACCGGCUAACUCUGUGCCAGCAGCCGCGGUAAUACAGAGGGUGCGAGCGUUAAUCGGAUUUACUGGGCGUAAAGCGUGCGUAGGCGGCUUUUUAAGUCGGAUGUGAAAUCCCCGAGCUUAACUUGGGAAUUGCAUUCGAUACUGGGAAGCUAGAGUAUGGGAGAGGAUGGUAGAAUUCCAGGUGUAGCGGUGAAAUGCGUAGAGAUCUGGAGGAAUACCGAUGGCGAAGGCAGCCAUCUGGCCUAAUACUGACGCUGAGGUACGAAAGCAUGGGGAGCAAACAGGAUUAGAUACCCUGGUAGUCCAUGCCGUAAACGAUGUCUACUAGCCGUUGGGGCCUUUGAGGCUUUAGUGGCGCAGCUAACGCGAUAAGUAGACCGCCUGGGGAGUACGGUCGCAAGACUAAAACUCAAAUGAAUUGACGGGGGCCCGCACAAGCGGUGGAGCAUGUGGUUUAAUUCGAUGCAACGCGAAGAACCUUACCUGGCCUUGACAUACUAGAAACUUUCCAGAGAUGGAUUGGUGCCUUCGGGAAUCUAGAUACAGGUGCUGCAUGGCUGUCGUCAGCUCGUGUCGUGAGAUGUUGGGUUAAGUCCCGCAACGAGCGCAACCCUUUUCCUUACUUGCCAGCAUUUCGGAUGGGAACUUUAAGGAUACUGCCAGUGACAAACUGGAGGAAGGCGGGGACGACGUCAAGUCAUCAUGGCCCUUACGGCCAGGGCUACACACGUGCUACAAUGGUCGGUACAAAGGGUUGCUACACAGCGAUGUGAUGCUAAUCUCAAAAA
Molecule: ribosomal RNA, 1263 nt
Filed under: Acinetobacter sp.
Lineage: Bacteria; Pseudomonadati; Pseudomonadota; Gammaproteobacteria; Moraxellales; Moraxellaceae
Description: bacterial SSU rRNA
Rfam family: Bacterial small subunit ribosomal RNA
Source: RNAcentral